This 406-nucleotide ribosomal RNA is filed under the name uncultured bacterium. RNAcentral describes it as "partial 16S ribosomal RNA". It matches the Rfam family "Bacterial small subunit ribosomal RNA", at positions 29 to 526 of the family's 1533-position model. The record is from RNAcentral.
AUUGAACGCUGGCGGCAGGCCUAACACAUGCAAGUCGAACGAGUGGCGGACGGGUGAGUAAUGUCUGGGAAACUGCGCGAUGGAGGGGGAUAACAACUGGAAACGGUAGCUAAUACCCCCUACCAUCGGAGGUGCCCCGAUGGGAUUAGCUAGUAGGUGGGGUAAAGGCGCACCUAGGCGACGAGCCCUAGCUGGUCUGAGAGGAUGACCAGCCACACUGGAACUGAGACACGGUCCAGACUCCUACGGGAGGCAGCAGUGGGGAAUAUUGCACAAUGGGCGCAAGCCUGAUGCAGCCAUGCCGCGGGUAUGAAGAAGGCCUUCGGGUUGUAAAGUACUUUCAGCGAGGAGGCGUUACUCGCAGAAGAAGCACCGGCUAACUCCGUGCCAGCAGCCGCGGUAAUAC